This 28-nucleotide small RNA is filed under the name Bombyx mori (domestic silkworm). RNAcentral's name for it is "ovarian small RNA-20971". Lineage: Eukaryota; Metazoa; Arthropoda; Insecta; Lepidoptera; Bombycidae. The record is from RNAcentral.
UACGACCCCAGCAGUCACAUGUAGGCGU